CGGGUGAGUAACACGUGGAUCAUCUACCCUGGAGUGGGGAAUAACGCUGGGAAACCGGCGCUAAUACCGCAUAAUCCCGAGAGGGCAAAGGAGCUUUGUGAAAACAGAGCAUCGCUUCAGGAGGAGUCCGCGGCCGAUUAGCUAGUUGGCAGGGUAAAAGCCUACCAAGGCAACGAUCGGUAGCCGGCCUGAGAGGGCACACGGCCACACUGGCACUGAAACACGGGCCAG
RNAcentral lists this ribosomal RNA (231 nucleotides) under uncultured bacterium. RNAcentral's name for it is "partial 16S ribosomal RNA". It matches the Rfam family "Bacterial small subunit ribosomal RNA", at positions 103 to 334 of the family's 1533-position model. The record is from RNAcentral.